ACGGGUGAGUAACGCGUGAGUAACCUGCCUUUCAGAGGGGGAGUAACGUUCUGAAAAGAACGCUAAUACCGCNUAACAUCAAUUUAUCGCAUGAUAGGUUGAUCAAAGGAGCAAUCCGCUGGAAGAUGGACUCGCGUCCGAUUAGCCAGUUGGCGGGGUAACGGCCCACCAAAGCGACGAUCGGUAGCCGGACUGAGAGGUUGAACGGCCACAUUGGGACUGAGACACGGCCCAGACUCCUACGGGAGGCAGCAUG
Molecule: ribosomal RNA, 256 nt
Filed under: uncultured bacterium
Lineage: Bacteria
Description: partial 16S ribosomal RNA
Rfam family: Bacterial small subunit ribosomal RNA
Source: RNAcentral